GCCAACUAUAAUAUCCCAGAGUCACCCAGGCAGCCAUAUGGAGAGGCUCACCGGCCUUCAGAUGACUGCAGCCUGAGAGAAAAUCUUCACUGUAACUCCCAGGAGAGCCUCCAAACCAAAACUAUUCAUGAGCUGAAUGUUUCUGUCUUCUCCAAAUCCACAUGUUGGAGCCCUGAUCCCCAGUGUGAUGGUGUUGGAGGCCCAAUUAGAUGAUUCUACCUCAACUAUUUUAAUGGAAGAAAAAGAGAAGAUAGGAUUUGCUUGGAUCCUCUCCAUGACCAACUUUUCUGGAGCGCAAAAGGAACAAUGGACCCUCUCCUUCCCAUUCCAUGUGGCCCUGGGGAUAACUGACAAGUCAAGCUGACCAGCCUCUUGUUCCUGGAGCAGAGUCUCAAAGCAGAAGAAGGCUGCACUGUCAUUUUGGUGACCAUUGUUGGGAGAAACCAUUAGCUCCUGCUAUAGGAUCCUGGGAGCUGCCCAGAUUCCUGUGCCUCCUGGGGUCUGAGUGUUCAACAAGUCUUUGAAUUCUAA
This is a long non-coding RNA of Suricata suricatta (meerkat), 531 nucleotides long. RefSeq lists it as uncharacterized. The transcript has 4 exons. Lineage: Eukaryota; Metazoa; Chordata; Mammalia; Carnivora; Herpestidae. The record is from RefSeq and is a predicted model, not a curated record.